Molecule: long non-coding RNA, 1065 nt
Organism: Chenopodium quinoa (quinoa)
Lineage: Eukaryota; Viridiplantae; Streptophyta; Magnoliopsida; Caryophyllales; Amaranthaceae
Exons: 7
Source: RefSeq, a predicted model, not a curated record
CCCUAUUUCAUUGUUAUCAAAGAGGGCGAAAAACAAGUCGUUGUCUUAUAUUUGAUCAAUAAGGGCGAUAAAAGUAAAUUUGCUCUCUUUGAUCAAACAACAAGGGCGAAUUGUAAAAAUUUGUCUUUUUUGGCUCCUUUCUCGCACAAAUAACAAAGACGACUAGACGAGUACUCAGUAAAACACUACGGAGUAAGACAAACCCAAAAAUAUAAAAUUGUAAAAUGUUUCUCUCUCCUCAAAAUAUAAAACAUAUUUCAUUCGUAUUCUCCAUUGAAGCGGAUUUUGAGCUUUCUUCUCCAUUAAAGCGAUUUUCAAGCUUUCUUCUCCAUUGAAGCAGCUUCUGAGCUUUCUCCUCCAAUUGAAGUAGCUCCUCCAUCAAAUCAGUUUAUCAGCGAGUUCUGAGCUUUCUCCUCCAUUGAAGCAGCCUCUGAGCUUUUUCCUCCGCUGAAGCAAUUUCCUCUAUUGAAGCACCUUCUUAGGGUUUGAAGCACAAUUAGUUUGGUUCGUUGAUCAAAUUCUUUAGUCAAGUCGCUAAAUUAUGAGUCAUUGAGUAGCAUACUGAUGAGAUAGCUUCCCUUGAGAUCGACUUGGGACAAUGGCAAGCCAUAUGAGCAAGGUGCUAAAGCCGAAUUACCAAUGUGUGUUCGUCUAAUGAGAUAUUAUGCAGGUUGCGCCUACCUUAGCAGGUAUACAAUUGUUUGGAAGAGUGCUGAACAAACACCAUUAACUGCAAUCUAUGCCGCAAAGCUACUCCAAGAGAUUACUUUGUAUGUGGGAUAACUUUGAACAGAUUACUUUGUAGACAUCAAUUCUGCAAUACUUGUUGGGCAAGAAAAUGGAGUAACAACAUUACUGGAAUAAUUGAAUUGAAGAGUAAAACUGAAUUCUGAUGAUUAAUUGCAACUCUAAUGUGGAAGAUAGGUGAAGACAAGUCCAAGGACACUCAAACAAUAAUUUUCAGCUUCACUAGCGAUGGAGUAAAAAUUAUAUUGUUUUUUUUUUUUUUUUUGGUGUUCCAUCCGGUUCACCCUUUGGGCUAAUCCGGAUUGGGGGAUCAGUUCU